This 253-nucleotide ribosomal RNA is filed under the name uncultured bacterium. RNAcentral describes it as "partial 16S ribosomal RNA". It matches the Rfam family "Bacterial small subunit ribosomal RNA", at positions 524 to 776 of the family's 1533-position model. The record is from RNAcentral.
UACGAAGGGGGCUAGCGUUGCUCGGAAUCACUGGGCGUAAAGGGUGCGUAGGCGGGUCUUUAAGUCUGGGGUGAAAUCCUGGAGCUCAACUCCAGAACUGCCUUUGAUACUGAGGAUCUUGAGUAUGGGAGAGGUGAGUGGAACUGCGAGUGUAGAGGUGAAAUUCGUAGAUAUUCGCAAGAACACCAGUGGCGAAGGCGGCUCACUGGCCCAUUACUGACGCUGAGGCACGAAAGCGUGGGGAGCAAACAGG